This 253-nucleotide ribosomal RNA is filed under the name uncultured bacterium. Its description in RNAcentral is "partial 16S ribosomal RNA". It matches the Rfam family "Archaeal small subunit ribosomal RNA", at positions 474 to 727 of the family's 1478-position model. The record is from RNAcentral.
UACCAGCACCCCGAGUGGUCGGGACGAUUAUUGGGCCUAAAGCAUCCGUAGCCGGUUUUACAAGUCUUCCGUUAAAUCCACCUGCUUAACAGAUGGGCUGCGGAGGAUACUAUGGAGCUAGGAGGCGGGAGAGGCAAGCGGUACUUAGUGGGUAGGGGUAAAAUCCGUUGAUCCAUUGAAGACUACCAGUGGCGAAGGCGGCUUGCCAGAACGCACUCGACGGUGAGGGAUGAAAGCUGGGGGAGCAAACCGG